AAACAGUUAGUCCAAAAUAAGACCUUUGAUUUCGGCUCAAAAAACCGUGGUUUAAGCCCACGAUUGUUUU
RNAcentral lists this transfer RNA (70 nucleotides) under Argentina sphyraena (European argentine). Its description in RNAcentral is "tRNA-Arg". It matches the Rfam family "tRNA". Rfam says of the family: Transfer RNA (tRNA) molecules are approximately 80 nucleotides in length. Their secondary structure includes four short double-helical elements and three loops (D, anti-codon, and T loops). Further hydrogen bonds mediate the characteristic L-shaped molecular structure. tRNAs have two regions of fundamental functional importance: the anti-codon, which is responsible for specific mRNA codon recognition, and the 3' end, to which the tRNAs corresponding amino acid is attached (by aminoacyl-tRNA synthetases). tRNAs cope with the degeneracy of the genetic code in two manners: having more than one tRNA (with a specific anti-codon) for a particular amino acid; and 'wobble' base-pairing, i.e. permitting non-standard base-pairing at the 3rd anti-codon position. Lineage: Eukaryota; Metazoa; Chordata; Actinopteri; Argentiniformes; Argentinidae. The record is from RNAcentral.